UGCCUCUUCAGGGUUUGUGUCUAUUGCUU
RNAcentral lists this non-coding RNA (29 nucleotides) under Homo sapiens (human). The record is from RNAcentral. Lineage: Eukaryota; Metazoa; Chordata; Mammalia; Primates; Hominidae.